RNAcentral lists this transfer RNA (86 nucleotides) under Phycisphaerales bacterium. RNAcentral describes it as "tRNA-Phe". The stretch from base 20 to 86 matches the Rfam family "tRNA". From Rfam's summary of the family: Transfer RNA (tRNA) molecules are approximately 80 nucleotides in length. Their secondary structure includes four short double-helical elements and three loops (D, anti-codon, and T loops). The record is from RNAcentral. Lineage: Bacteria; Pseudomonadati; Planctomycetota; Phycisphaerae; Phycisphaerales.
GGGUUGUAGGUCAAGUGUAGGCCAGGUGUCGCUUAUCGAAAGGACUGAAAAUCCGUGUGUCGGCGGUUCAAAUCCGCCCCUGCCCA